RNAcentral lists this ribosomal RNA (253 nucleotides) under uncultured bacterium. Its description in RNAcentral is "partial 16S ribosomal RNA". It matches the Rfam family "Bacterial small subunit ribosomal RNA", at positions 524 to 776 of the family's 1533-position model. The record is from RNAcentral.
UACGAAGGGGGCAAGCGUUGUUCGGAAUUACUGGGCGUAAAGGGCGCGCAGGCGGCGGACGUAGUCAGGCGUGAAAGCCCCGGGCUUAACCUGGGAAUUGCGUUUGAUACUCGUCUGCUAGAGUUUGGGAGAGGUUGGUGGAAUUCCCAGUGUAGAGGUGAAAUUCGUAGAUAUUGGGAAGAACACCGGUGGCGAAGGCGGCCAACUGGACCAAAACUGACGCUGAGGCGCGAAAGCGUGGGGAGCAAACAGG